Molecule: small RNA, 136 nt
Rfam family: 6S / SsrS RNA
About the family: E. coli 6S RNA was the first non coding RNA to be sequenced, but its function was unknown until recently.
AAGAAGCUACUUUGUGCGUAUUGUUAAUUAAGUUUUAACCUUUAAGCUGUAAUAGGGAGUUUUAUAUCGAAGCUGGAAUGUCAUGCCUCCAUUGCAGAGGACGACAGGAACGUUUCUGCAAACACCCACUUUGAGG